Molecule: ribosomal RNA, 313 nt
Filed under: uncultured bacterium
Lineage: Bacteria
Description: bacterial SSU rRNA
Rfam family: Bacterial small subunit ribosomal RNA
Source: RNAcentral
GAUGAACGCUGGCGGCGUGCCUAAUACAUGCAAGUCGAACGCACAGCGAAAGGUGCUUGCACCUUUCAAGUGAGUGGCGAACGGGUAAGUAACACGUGGAUAACCUACCUCAAGGUUGGGGAUAACAUUUGGAAACAGAUGCUAAUACCGAAUAAAACUUAGUAUCGCAUGAUACCAGGUUAAAAAGGCGCUACGGCGUCACCUAGAGAUGGAUCCGCGGUGCAUUAGUUAGUUGGUGGGUAAAGGCUUACCGAAGACAAUGAUGCAUAGCCGAGUUGAGAGACUGAUCGGCCACAUUGGGACUGAGACACGG